UUUUAGCCCUGAUGGGAGCGGCAUCCUUUUUCUGGCUUCUUUAGACAGAAAAAGAUACAGCGGACAGCAGGAUUAGCU
Molecule: small RNA, 78 nt
Filed under: Flavobacterium cheongpyeongense
Lineage: Bacteria; Pseudomonadati; Bacteroidota; Flavobacteriia; Flavobacteriales; Flavobacteriaceae
Description: Flavo-1 RNA
Rfam family: Flavo-1 RNA
Source: Rfam by way of RNAcentral